This 107-nucleotide ribosomal RNA is filed under the name Phascolarctos cinereus (koala). The record is from RNAcentral. Lineage: Eukaryota; Metazoa; Chordata; Mammalia; Diprotodontia; Phascolarctidae.
AAUGUAUUGUCUAUGGCACCUCAAAUGUGUCUAAUCUUGGAAGCUAAGCAAAGAUGGGACUGGUUAGUACUUGGAUGGGAGACCACCUGGGAAUAUCAGGUACAGUU